AGAAGUAUAAUAUUAAGAGUAAACUGUCGAUUUGCCCCCUGAACUAUCACCCAACUUUCGAUUUGCCCCCUGAACUUUUUGAUUGGAAAAUUAAGGACUUAAACUAAUUUUUUUGGCCGAUUUCCCCCCUACCAUUAGUUUUUCAUAGAUUUCAUCCAAAUUAACGUUAACUCUUAUCAUGUGCAAACCACGUAACUCUCAUUUGUGGACAAAAGUGUCAUUUCACUAGACAUUCAGACAAAAAAGCUAUAGAAUCACACAUAUUUGCAUAGGUUUAUAUUUUAGAAAUCGAAGGUUUUCAAUUAUUUUAAAGAAUGAAGCGACCGAACUACCUACACAUGUUGUGCAUAUGCUUCUAUUUAACAGAAAUUUGGAUGGAAUGAAUGAAAAAUUAACAGCAGGGGGCAAAUCGGCCAAAAAAAUUAGUUUAAGUCCUUAAUUUUCCAAUUAAAAAGUUCAGGGGGCAAAUCGAAAGUUGGGUGAUAGUUCAGGGGGCAAAUCGGCAGUUUACUCUAAU
Molecule: long non-coding RNA, 517 nt
Filed under: Malus domestica (apple)
Lineage: Eukaryota; Viridiplantae; Streptophyta; Magnoliopsida; Rosales; Rosaceae
Description: long non-coding RNA (MDOM_LNC013857)
Source: RNAcentral